UUCGGGUUCCUUUCCCCCCCCCCCCCUUCCCCUCCCCCCCCUCCCCACUAAACGCACGAAGGAAGUUGUUGUCCAGGGCGUGAUGCAGACAUGUCGGACUGCUUUCUCCUGGCACCUCGUGACUGCCAAGCUUUCAAAAGAAAACAACAACCGACACCGCGGCUGAGCGGGCGGGCAGGCCCUGGCCGGGGGUCCGGGUGCUCCUCUGCAGGGCUGAAAGGACAAAAGCGGUGAGCAAGGACUUCUACCUGCGACCUAACUGAACACGUUGCUGCGACUCUAUACUUCCUGCGUUUCGAAGGCAAAAUGGCUCGCCGAACCUGUUCGAACACCUCUGGGGCUACAAACUACAAAUUCAAGGUCUUCGAUGAAUUGCUUCUGGUCCUGAAGUCCAUGCUGUCGGGGCUCUGUGACACCCCCUGCCGCCAGCAGAGGGCGCACUUCCUCCAGGCCCGCAGGUACGCACUGCGGAUCUUCGGCACCUUGAAGGCGUACACGACCGGAUUGACGGCGGAGUUGGCGUGCAUGAGGAGGAUCCCGACAUAGAAGACGUCCUGAGAGACGUCGCCUCCAGAGAACUCAACGCAGUACAUGAGGCUCAGCGGCAACAAGCCGAUGGCGAAGAGGACCACGACCAGCAGCAGGGACUUGGCCAGCUUCCGCUCUUUGGCGUAGUACGCGUGGGAUUCAGUGGCCCGGGCCUGGCUCCUCUGCAGCCGCUUGGAGAUGGAGUGGAAGAGAUGUGCGUAGAGGGCACACAUCACCAGCAGGGAAAGCAGCGUGCACCCAAAGAACUGGAAGUAGAUCAGUGACCUCACACCACACAAGGGCCAAGGAAUAUGGUGUGCAGCUGAGGUGAGGCUGGCACCCACCUGAGGGGCAUCUGCACGCGCAGGUGGCGAUCCACCGCGAUGACCAG
Anguilla anguilla (European eel) is the source of this 919-nucleotide long non-coding RNA. RefSeq lists it as uncharacterized. The record is from RefSeq and is a predicted model, not a curated record. The transcript has 3 exons. Lineage: Eukaryota; Metazoa; Chordata; Actinopteri; Anguilliformes; Anguillidae.